UACAGAGGGUGCAAGCGUUGUUCGGAAUUAUUGGGCGUAAAGCGCGUGUAGGCGGCUUUGCAAGUCGGGUGUGAAAGCCCUCAGCUCAACCCAGGAACUGCGUCCGAUACUGGAAGGCUUGAAUCCGGGAGAGGGAUGCGGAAUUCCAGGUGUAGCGGUGAAAUGCGUAGAUAUCUGGAGGAACACCGGUGGCGAAGGCGGCAUCCUGGACCGGUAUUGACGCUGAGGCGCGAAAGCCAGGGGAGCAAACGGG
This 253-nucleotide ribosomal RNA is filed under the name uncultured bacterium. Its description in RNAcentral is "partial 16S ribosomal RNA". It matches the Rfam family "Bacterial small subunit ribosomal RNA", at positions 524 to 776 of the family's 1533-position model. The record is from RNAcentral.